This 253-nucleotide ribosomal RNA is filed under the name uncultured prokaryote. RNAcentral's name for it is "partial 16S ribosomal RNA". It matches the Rfam family "Bacterial small subunit ribosomal RNA", at positions 525 to 777 of the family's 1533-position model. The record is from RNAcentral.
ACGUAGGGUGCAAGCGUUGUCCGGAAUUAUUGGGCGUAAAGAGCUCGUAGGCGGUCUGUCACGUCGGAUGUGAAAACUCGGGGCUCAACCCCGAGCCUGCAUUCGAUACGGGCAGACUUGAGUUCGGCAGGGGAGACUGGAAUUCCUGGUGUAGCGGUGAAAUGCGCAGAUAUCAGGAGGAACACCGGUGGCGAAGGCGGGUCUCUGGGCCGAUACUGACGCUGAGGAGCGAAAGCGUGGGGAGCGAACAGGA